Molecule: transfer RNA, 70 nt
Filed under: Oreolalax lichuanensis (Lichuan lazy toad)
Lineage: Eukaryota; Metazoa; Chordata; Amphibia; Anura; Megophryidae
Description: tRNA-Met
Source: RNAcentral
UAGUAAAAUCAGCUAAUUAAGCUUUUGGGCUCAUGCCCCGAACAUGUGAAGUAAAACCCACUUUUACUAA